GUAUGUAGCUGUUCCUAGAUGAGUUCAAUAUCUCAUAAAUACUCCAUGUAACCCGGUCACCAUUUUAUAACAUAUAAUUACACAAAGUUGUUUAUUAGGUUUAAUCACAGUUUAUCCAUACCUGACAUCCAGAGCCCAAGUGUUCCCUAUAUGUUGUGUAUUGGGUUGCGACCUCCCGCUCCGCCUUGUUUCUUCUUUGUUUGCCCUACCGUUUGUCAUAUAAAUACGAUGUUGUGUCAUACCCUCUUCCCUUUUGAUAUGUUCCACUGGGAAGAGGUCAGUUUAUUAUCUGUUGUAAUCCUUUUAUUUCUUGUGCCCGCAUCCUUAUUUUUACUUCUUCUGCAUAACUAAUGACUGUUGACACUCAUACAUGUACUGUUAUUAUGCUGUUAUGACAUUUGCCGGUGCUAAUUACUUAGCUUUGUUCCGACAACGAUGUAUGCUAACACACUAACAUGAUGUAUUUUUUUUAUAUAGAUUGGGCUUGAGGUCCCGCAGCACAUGCUAGGUGCUGAUUAUUGUUUCAUGUUGUCAGGGUUUUACUGGACAAUUCACUUAAUUGUCAAGAAAUCCUGGUUAUAUCUUUGAUAAGAUGGUUAUCCCAGUUACACCCGGCAAGGACAGAAUCUUCUACUUGAGAGGUUCUAUCAACAAAAACUCAGUUUAUAAUGCUUCAGGAGCCUUUGGAGAAUAGAGAUCUGACCUGAACCCAUCCCCCACACUCUCUGGAAUGCCAGAAAUGCUGCAGUUCUCCCUGAUCUACCAGCCUACCAGCCUAGCUGCCUUGGAGAUGCUGGAGAAAUCUUGGGCAGGAAAGCUACAGUACAGUCCAGGACAGAGCACUGCAGCAUGCUAAUGCCUGGAGAGGUUUGCUAGUGACAGCACAGACACCUGUUUGAAUGGUUGCUGGUAUAUUAUGUUUACUGAGUUGAUAUUUUGAGAAAUGUCAGCCACUGAGUGUCAAUCACAUUUCAUGAGAUUAAAAAAAUGUAUUCUAACCACAACUAAAGACAGGAAAAAAAACACAAUUAUACCUUGUUCAUUUGAAGGCCAGGGGAUCUUCUUGUUUCCCCCAUCGUGGAACAGGACUUAAAGGACUUCUCAGUUAUUUAUAGUCUGUCCAUUUUAGACUUACAGUAUGUUUGAGUGAACAAUUUAGAGCUGCAUUACAAAGGGCUCACUACCCACCUAUAAUAAAAGCAGCAUGGUUUUGAUUUUUCAUUUUAAAAGAAUUUAGUGUCACAUACUUUACUCAAUGCACACCUUGACGCAACAGGGAUGAAACCUCUGGUCAUGUUGUAAUAAAGCAAAAUGCCAUCUGCAAAUCAUAAUGCAUUCACCCUGCCUUCAUUACUUUUUUAUUUUAAAAAUCUCUUCUGAUCCCCAACUCAUUACUACUGAGCAAGUGUCCAGUAUAACUGAGCUCACUGUAGUGACAUAAUCAC
This is a long non-coding RNA of Monopterus albus (swamp eel), 1445 nucleotides long. RefSeq lists it as uncharacterized. The transcript is spliced from 3 exons. Lineage: Eukaryota; Metazoa; Chordata; Actinopteri; Synbranchiformes; Synbranchidae. The record is from RefSeq and is a predicted model, not a curated record.